This 107-nucleotide small nuclear RNA is filed under the name Myotis davidii. Lineage: Eukaryota; Metazoa; Chordata; Mammalia; Chiroptera; Vespertilionidae. The record is from RNAcentral.
GUGCUCGCUUCAGGAGCACAUAUACUAAAAUUGGAACGAUACAGAGAAGAUUAGUAUGGCCCUUGUGCAAGGAUGACACACAAAUUUGUGAAGCCUUCCAUAUUUUG